CCUACGGGGGGCAGCAGUGGGGAAUAUUGCACAAUGGGGGAAACCCUGAUGCAGCGACGCCGCGUGAGUGAAGAAGUAAUUCGUUAUGUAAAGCUCUAUCAGCAGGGAAGAAAAUGACGGUACCUGAGUAAGAAGCCCCGGCUAACUACGUGCCAGCAGCCGCGGUAAUACGUAGGGGGCAAGCGUUAUCCGGAUUUCCGGGGUGGAAAGGGAGCGUAGACGGCAGUGAAAGUCUGGAGGGAAAGGCGGGGGCUCAACCCCCGGACUGCUCUGGAAACUGUACGGCUGGAGUGCAGGAGAGGUAAGUGGAAUUCCUAGUGUAGCGGUGAAAUGCGUAGAUAUUAGGAGGAACACCAGUGGCGAAGGCGGCUUACUGGACUGUAACUGACGUUGAGGCUCGAAAGCGUGGGGAGCAAACAGGAUUAGAUACCCCAGUAGUC
RNAcentral lists this ribosomal RNA (440 nucleotides) under uncultured bacterium. RNAcentral describes it as "partial 16S ribosomal RNA". It matches the Rfam family "Bacterial small subunit ribosomal RNA", at positions 338 to 795 of the family's 1533-position model. The record is from RNAcentral.